Zophobas morio is the source of this 243-nucleotide long non-coding RNA. RefSeq lists it as uncharacterized. The transcript is spliced from 3 exons. NCBI's taxonomy places the organism in Eukaryota, Metazoa, Arthropoda, Insecta, Coleoptera, Tenebrionidae. The record is from RefSeq and is a predicted model, not a curated record.
GAUUUGUGCAGAAUUAAAGCCUCUUUUGAGAGAGUACUUUACUUUCAGACGUGUAUCCAUCAGAGAUAAAUAAAAAGCUCAAAAAGCUAUCACAAAAGAGUUUAUGUUACUUUGGUUAUUGUGGUAUCUCUCUUGGUGACAAGUCUUCCCUUCAUAAUCAACUUCUUCGAAUUAAGAUCCCUGCUUUUACUAUGAAGCGGUACUAAUAAUUUAUUUUGAUGACAUAGUUCACUGAUACAUAAC